Molecule: long non-coding RNA, 3276 nt
Organism: Helianthus annuus (common sunflower)
Lineage: Eukaryota; Viridiplantae; Streptophyta; Magnoliopsida; Asterales; Asteraceae
Exons: 4
Source: RefSeq, a predicted model, not a curated record
CAUUAAAAUCCCCAAUUGAAUGUAAGACCAGUUACAAAUCCCCUCAACUACAGAGCAAGCAAAUCCAUCAAAGUAAGGGAGAGAUUUCAUCAAUGGAAUCCACGCCCUCUAUCUCUUCCAUCAAUUAAACCUGAUCUGCAAUCAAUUCCACAAUUCGUCUUUUCUAUCCGAUUCCUUCGAUUUGUCAUUUCAAUUUGUCCCGAAAAAUAAAGCGUUGGGAUUUGAUGAGAAUGCCCACAUUACAUCUUCUUCUCCGUUUUCGAAUUGGCCCUAUAUCUUCUCCAGAUGUUCUUCCUUGGCAUCCACGAUUCAAGAAUCUCUCUCAGAAGAUAUUGGUCAAUGUAAUUCAAAGUAGUAGGGGAUUAAAGGAGUACUGACAAAGUUGCCUACAUCACAUCGAGCUAAGUUGCAAGGAAGGUUUUUUGCUUUGGGUGCAGAUGCUGGGCCUGAGACUAUCAUGGAUAAUGUGAUGGGUCGUAUGAUAUGACGAUCCAAUGUGACAAGAAUCCAAGCCGUUCAAAUGUCUACUUUGAUGCUUGCAGCAAUACAGUCGCUUUCUUGACAAACUGUGAGUUCAAAUCUUCCCUAUAACCGUUGUUAACUAAGAGGAGACGUAUAAAUAUAACACAAAGCUUGCUUGGUCGGAUGGUAAGUUGCAUUGCCUGAUUUCUAUAUGAGGCAAGUUCAAAUUCAACCUUCAGCUACUCAUUUUUUUCUUUUCUUAAAUUACUUAACAUCUUUGAACUUCAAGCUUUUGAAAAUGACUAAAACAAUCCCUAAAGUUUUAUAAAAAUUGUAGUUUAACCUGUUCAUAUAUUUCCAGUUAUCCUAAAUUGGCCUUAUUUAUGGCGCUAUUAUUUGAUCAGAUUAUAUAUUGAUGGUAAAUAAAUUAUACAAAUUGAAAUUACGUUGUAAUCAAUAUCCUAACUGAUAUAGUUUUUUAUUUACCAACCUUUUACACAAAAUGCAAGUCACGAAAAUAUACAUAAGAGGGCUCACAUCCAAACUAAUUCUUACUACAUGUAUGCCUCGCUUGGAUCACAAAUGGGAUGCUCAAUCAACCACAUGAACUCCAACUUAGACACACUGUGCUCAUUUGACUAAACAUUCCCGGUGUGAUUAUUUUGGUAGCAUCAGCCUGUUCGUACCAUUAAAGAAAAGAUAUGGUUGAUCUAUUUUGCUUAACACAUUACUUACUUAAGGCAUCUUUGAUUAUCUGGUAUCAAAGAGACACGUGCACUAACGAAUAAAAUAAUGUUAAGUGUUACCAAACACUUGUGCUAAUCAUAUUUUUCACACCUAAUUCAUUUUGAAGGGUUUUGAUGGAGAAGUAGCUCAUGAGCAAAGACCUGAAUAUAAUUGCACGGGCGAGAUGUGGGCGUUUGAACUAGAAAAACUCUUGCUGGUUAUACAACAUGAAUUCUUACGACGUAUGGAAAAUGGAAUUUCAGCCCCAAGGCUGUUGAAGUUGAAUCCUCUUGGGCUCAAGUGUUUAAUAAGUUCCGUGGCGACCAAUUCUUGUGGGUCACUGAAGAUGGGAAGCAAGAGCACCUGGUUGCCACAUUGGGCAAAUUCAAUGUGAUAUGGAACUUCCUGUAAAUUGCUCAUACAAAAUAUUCUGUAGGAAUAAUAUGGUUGACUAAUAGGCCCCCUCAGUCGUAGCGGAAGUAUGACGAACGCACAGACUGGUCUUGAAUCUGUUGAAUAGUUGUUUAGGGACACCCUUUGUGAAAAUGUCGGCGUACUGGUAAUCGGCCGGAACAUGUAAAACUCUAAUAUCGCCCAUACGAACCUUGUCACGAACAAAAUGAAUGUCAAUCUCUACAUGUUUGGUUCGUUGAUGUUGAACCGGAUUACCUGACAAGUAUACGGCUGAUACGUUGUCACAAAAAAUGAUGGUGGCUUCGCGUGUAGGUAUGUGUAAUUCCAGAAGAAGGUUACGAAGCCAGCUAGUUUCGGCUGCCGUGUUUGCGACACCUCUGUAUUCAGCUUCAGCGCUUGAGCGGGAGACAGUGUGUUGUCGUUUUGACGACCAAGAGACCAGAUUAUCUCCCAUAAAGACACAAAACCAAGAAGUGGAACGUCUCGAGUCUGGGCAACCCCCCCAAUCAGCAUCAGAAUAUGCAGUUAGUUUCAAAGACUUUGAUGGUUUUAUGUGAAGGGCAUGAUCUGCAGUGCCUUUUAGAUAUCUUAGGAUCCGCUUUAAAUAUUGAAAAUGUGGUUCGCGCGGCGCAUGCAUGAAUAAACACACCUGUUGGACUACAUAAGAAAUGUCGGGCCGGGUAAAGGUUAAGUAUUGUAAGGCGCCGGCCAGGCUCCUGUAAAGUGUACCGUCGGACAAUGGAGUACCGGCAUGCGCACUUAGUUUGGAGUCAGUGUCACAUGGGGUGUUGCAUGGCUUGCAUGUUGACAUGUUGGCGCGUUCAAGGAUAUCCCGAACAUAGGAUCCUUGCGAAAGAAGUAAGCCAUCUCGGUUCCGUGUUACCUGUAUACCCAAGAAAUGAUGAAGAUUCCCCAAAUCUGACAUGGCAAAUUCUGCUGAUAAAGAAUUAAUGAUAUCACGAAGCAAGCGGUCAUCAGAAGCAGUUAGUAUGAUAUCGUCAACGUAUAGUAAUAAAUAUGCCAUACGAGAUCCGUUUUGGUAGACAAAAAGAGAGGUGUCACACGUCGUACUUCGAAAACCACAGUUUGUAAUGAAAGUGGCAAACCUGUGAUACCAAGCGCGCGGAGCUUGUUUAAGGCCAUAUAGAGACUUACGUAACCGGCAAACAAAGGACGGAUGUUGUUUGUCCACAAAUCCAGGUGGCUAAAACAUGUAAACCGUUUCGUUCAGAUCACCAUGUAGGAAGGCGUUUUUGACAUCGAGUUGGUGUAUUGGCCAUGCACGAGAAACGGCAAUGCUGAGUACGGUCUGAAUUGUAGUAGGUUUGACGAGCGGACUGAAGGUAUCAAAACAAUCAACGCCAACCUGUUGAGAUUUACCAUUAACAACAAGGCGAGCUUUGUACCUUUGCAACGUACCAUUUGCGUGAAACUUGUGGCGAUAUAGCCACAUGCAACGAAUGAUGUGUGCGUUAUUCGGUCGUGGGACUAACUCCCACGUGUUAUUUUCCAUUAAGGCUCUAUAUUCGUCAUUCAUAGCCUCUUGCCAAUUUGGAUCGGUUAGAGCGGUAAGGUGUGAUUUAGGAAGUGGAGAAAUCGAUGGCGGUGUGGAGGUGUGUAGGUUAACAGGGUGUUUUGGUUUGGUAAUUCCGGCUUUGAGGCGGGUUGUCAUGU